UGCUCUGCAUACAGUUAGAGUCCCUGAUAAUAAAGAAGCGGAGAACGAUAACUGCAACAUCUUCCUACUUCACAGAGUUGUUCAGGGCACCAAAUGACAAUAUAGAUGAAAAUUUGGACUAUACAGAUUAAAAAUGGGAGGUGGGGGAAGAUAUAUACAUCACCACAAAAUUCACAAUCUGCAAAGCUUACAGAGUUCUGAACAUUGAGCAGAGUUUAGGGAAGUUGGCCCUGUUGAAAAGAGUAAAUAAGACUGAAGGAAGACACGGUAACUCUCAAGUCUAUAAAGGGUCUUCAAAAAUUUUUAAGACUAAAGGAGUCCUGAGACCAAGUAUUUGUGAACCAGUGGCACAACCAUUAGAACCCAUCG
This is a non-coding RNA of Microcebus murinus (gray mouse lemur), 369 nucleotides long. Lineage: Eukaryota; Metazoa; Chordata; Mammalia; Primates; Cheirogaleidae. The record is from RefSeq and is a predicted model, not a curated record.